This 1382-nucleotide long non-coding RNA is filed under the name Pandoravirus neocaledonia. RNAcentral describes it as "hypothetical ncRNA". The record is from RNAcentral.
GCCGUAUCACAUAAAAUGAAAAGAGACGCCUAUUCUUUGUUUUUUUUGGUCUGGCCUUUCCUCACAAGGCUCCACAAAAAAGGAGAGAAAAUCAAUCAGCAGGACGCUCAUAAUGAGACAAGAUUAGGACGCGUCGCGGGUGUGGGUGCGGUAGACAUCGAGCAGGUCAUCGAGGACGACUGGACGCGCGUGCCCUCUAGAGAGUGCCUCGUCGAUCAAACGCUCCAAUGUAUCGCACGGCGUCUCGGCCGCCAUCAUCUCCAAGAUAGAACGCCGGUCGCCGCCGGGCUGACGACUCGCGACAGCCUUGUCGACGUACAUGCGCGACGCGUUGUACGGACCGCAGCAGCGCGACGGUGCGUGCGGGUCGUAACCUGCAUUGAGCAGCAGCCGGGCUAUUUUGAUGGAUUCCGUGCUGACCUCUUGCUCGGUCGUGCCGUUGGCGGCAUCGGGCACAGAGAGCGCUUCGGCAAUUCUCUCGCAUGCACACCGCACACCAUAGGCGAGCGCGCGCAACGGCGGCACAAUGCCAAGAGGCGAUCGACACGGCCUCGGCGCGCCAAACGAGUCUAGUAUCAAUGAGAGAGCCGAUGUCACGCAUACGUGCCGAUAGGAUUCAACUGCGACAUUGGGGCGCAUCCAUGUCGAAACAUCAGGACCCACGGUGGCGACGUGCUGGCGUCGCCAUGCGCAGCGCUCGAUCACAAACGACACCAGGGCAUCGACGUGCGGCAUCGGUCGUGCCCCCAACGCGAUCAGCGUGCGGGCGCAGUUUAGCGCGCCAUAGGCAAAUGCCAUCACAAGCGGCGUGACGACAAGAGGCGGCACGGUCGCGGCGAAAUCGUCUUUAUAAAGCACAAACGACUCGAACGAGAAUUCGUUUGUGUCAUUUUCAAACAUGUGCACCAGGUCGGUCGAUUCUGCACCGGCACCAAGCAUGUUCCAUCCGCGAGUGUCAAUGGGGUCGUCGGGUCCGAUCGCGCCCGUGUCGAGCACGCGCAAGAGUGCCGGCACAGCGUCAUCGACCAGUGCCCGCGUCAGUGUCUCGAUGGUCGACCACUGAUGCGCACACGAACCAUCGGACCGCGUGGCUGCGGCAGCCAUGCGACGGCGCUGCUGGUCGAGCGUGGCGCCGCCUACAGCGGACCACCGACGGCAUACUGUGCGCGCGGUACCGAUCGACGCCAAGGAAAGGUGCAUUGGUGAGAGCACCAGAGUCAGCAGUUCGCUGGGCAGAUCAUCAACGGUGAGCGAGGCCAAUAUCGGCGCUGUGGAGCCACAAGGCUCCAUGUCGUGGCCUGUCCUUUGUUUGCCUUGAAGAAAAAAGGAUACGGGCAGUCGCCGCUGUUCUCGGUUGUGGUUUUUUGGAAAGGAAAAAAAAC